UUCCCGGGCCUCUGCGAUGGCAGACCGGUGAACCCCGCCAGGUCCGAAAGGAAGCAACGGUAACUGACUCUGCCAGGCGCAGAACCGCCCGGAAAGCA
RNAcentral lists this signal recognition particle RNA (98 nucleotides) under Bacillota bacterium. RNAcentral's name for it is "signal recognition particle sRNA small type". It matches the Rfam family "Bacterial small signal recognition particle RNA". Rfam says of the family: The signal recognition particle (SRP) is a universally conserved ribonucleoprotein involved in the co-translational targeting of proteins to membranes. Archaeal SRP consists of a 7S RNA and homologues of the eukaryotic SRP19 and SRP54 proteins. In most bacteria, the SRP consists of a 4.5S RNA and the Ffh protein (a homologue of the eukaryotic SRP54 protein). Lineage: Bacteria; Bacillati; Bacillota. The record is from RNAcentral.